ACUCCUACGGGAGGCAGCAGUCGAGAAUAAUUCACAAUGGGGGCAACCCUGAUGGUGCAACGCCGCGUGGAGGAUGACGGUCUUCGGAUUGUAAACUCCUGUCAUCUGGGAGUAAGACCUGGGCAUGAAUAGUGCACAGGGUUGAUAGUACCAGAAGAGGAAGGGACGGCUAACUUCGUGCCAGCAGCCGCGGUAAU
Molecule: ribosomal RNA, 197 nt
Filed under: uncultured bacterium
Lineage: Bacteria
Description: partial 16S ribosomal RNA
Rfam family: Bacterial small subunit ribosomal RNA
Source: RNAcentral